UCCUAGGACUGAAUCACCACCCCAGAAGAGCA
Molecule: non-coding RNA, 32 nt
Filed under: Homo sapiens (human)
Lineage: Eukaryota; Metazoa; Chordata; Mammalia; Primates; Hominidae
Source: RNAcentral